UUUGGUUUUAUUGACCUUUCUUUUAGUUGAUACAAUCAUUUUAAACAUGCCAGGUUAUUAUAGUUUAACACUGGGUGGGUCAACUGGAAAAAUGUCCAACAUUUUUGUAGAAGUUGUGGGUAAAUUAGGUCUGAAGAGGAUGGAUCAGAAGUAUGGUGUGGGGUCUCUCUUGUUGGUCAGUUCCACAUGGACGUGUGAAGUGAUUCCAGGGUAAACUCUCUGCAUGGGCAGCAUGACGCCGAUCCUCUGGCCCUUCGUCACUGCUCCAGAUGAUUUGUCCGGCCUCACGC
This is a long non-coding RNA of Mugil cephalus (flathead mullet), 290 nucleotides long. RefSeq lists it as uncharacterized. The transcript has 2 exons. The record is from RefSeq and is a predicted model, not a curated record. Lineage: Eukaryota; Metazoa; Chordata; Actinopteri; Mugiliformes; Mugilidae.